Molecule: ribosomal RNA, 445 nt
Filed under: uncultured bacterium
Lineage: Bacteria
Description: SSU rRNA
Rfam family: Bacterial small subunit ribosomal RNA
Source: RNAcentral
AGAACGAACGCUGGCGGCAUGCCUAACACAUGCAAGUCGAACGCCUGUAGCAAUACAGGAGUGGCGCACGGGUGAGUAACGCGUGGGAACCUACCCUGGAGUGGGGGAUAACCGAGGGAAACUUCGGCUAAAUACCUCAUACGACCUGAGGGUGAAAGAUUUAUCGCUCUAGGAGGGGCCCGCGUCGGAUUAGCUAGUUGGUAAGGUAACGGCCCACCAAGGCGAUGAUCCGUAGCUGGUCUGAGAGGAUGAUCAGCCACACUGGGACUGAGACACGGCCCAGACUCCUACGGGAGGCAGCAGUGGGGAAUAUUGGACAAUGGGGGCAACCCUGAUCCAGCAAUGCCGCGUGAGUGAUGAAGGCCUUAGGGUUGUAAAGCUCUUUCGGCGGGACGAUGAUGACGGUACCGCAGAAGAAGCCCGGCUAACUCGCGCCAGCAGCCGC